AAUCUUUUUUUUUAAAAAAAAUAAAAUUUUCUUUUAAAAUAGUUUGUAUUGUGGUUUUAGAUUGAAAAUUUUAGACACCACAGAAAGAAUGAGAUGACCUGAAUGAUCCACAGUUGGUGCGGUGCACCAAGCAAUAAUUUAACAUUGCUUAAUUUCUCGUAUAGCCACGCUAGAGUCCGGCUACUAUAUUCUUAUGAGUGUAGGUCUUUUUGUACUUAUAAUUUUUUGAUCGUUAGAUCUAGUCUUUCGAUGAUUUCCUCCCGUUAGAUUAUACUAUUCAAUUAACCACUUACUCAACCCCAAAGGACUACUAUCAUUCUAACCGGGAAUCACUAUUAUCCCAACCGCACAUCUCUUCAUCCAACAGCCGAAGUUUUCAUCCAACAGCUGAAAACUUCUGAGUAUAAAUGUGUCUAUAUAUACUCAUAAGAGUAUAGUAGCCCUAGCCGCUUGGCUAUUUGUACAUUCUGAAAAAAGUAAUAAAUUUUACAACACAAGUUGUGUCGAUGCGUAUCAAUCACAAAAUAAUAACAGUAAAUAUUUAUCUUUUUCACACCAAUAUACUAUUAACUAUUUACUAAUUUACUAAAAAAAUAAAUUUUAAAUCGUGUCAUCACCUUAC
RNAcentral lists this long non-coding RNA (622 nucleotides) under Ananas comosus (pineapple). RNAcentral describes it as "long non-coding RNA (ACOM_LNC002600)". The record is from RNAcentral. Lineage: Eukaryota; Viridiplantae; Streptophyta; Magnoliopsida; Poales; Bromeliaceae.